This 22-nucleotide unclassified non-coding RNA is filed under the name Mus musculus (house mouse). RNAcentral's name for it is "oocyte_clustered_small_RNA6852". Lineage: Eukaryota; Metazoa; Chordata; Mammalia; Rodentia; Muridae. The record is from RNAcentral.
UGAACGAGCACAGCCUCUCCAU